This 309-nucleotide ribosomal RNA is filed under the name uncultured bacterium. RNAcentral describes it as "partial 16S ribosomal RNA". It matches the Rfam family "Bacterial small subunit ribosomal RNA", at positions 504 to 807 of the family's 1533-position model. The record is from RNAcentral.
AGAGACAGCAGCAGCCGCGGUAAUACGAAGGGUGCAAGCGUUACUCGGAAUUACUGGGCGUAAAGCGUGCGUAGGUGGUGGUUUAAGUCCGUUGUGAAAGCCCUGGGCUCAACCUGGGAAUUGCAUCCAAAACUGGUGAGCUAGAGUACGGUAGAGGGUAGUGGAAUUUCCUGUGUAGCGGUGAAAUGCGUAGAUAUAGGAAGGAACACCAGUGGCGAAGGCGACUACCUGGACUGAUACUGACACUGAGGUGCGAAAGCGUGGGGAGCAAACAGGAUUAGAGACCCGUGUAGUCCCUGUCUCUUAUAC